Paramuricea clavata is the source of this 215-nucleotide non-coding RNA. NCBI's taxonomy places the organism in Eukaryota, Metazoa, Cnidaria, Anthozoa, Malacalcyonacea, Plexauridae. The record is from the annotation of a GenBank genome assembly.
GUUCUCUCAUCUGUUGAUGUUUUCGUGUUUUUACUGAAGUCCAAUCUCAUUCCUUCUUUUCCGGUCGUUUAAAACUCCGGUCGUUUAAAACAAACAAAAGAGUUUGCUGGCGUGGGUGGCCACGUUAGACCGCCACCUUCGAAAUUUAUAAAUGUAAUUGAAAAACUGCACCUUCUGUCACAAUCUCGUCACCUGAACCUCGCUACAAGUUCUUU